AUGCACGCUGGCGGCGUGCCUCAUCCAUGCAAGUCGCGCGAACAGACGAGGAGCUUGCUCCUCUGACGUUAGCGGCGGACGGGUGAGUAACACGUGGAUAACCUACCUAUAAGACUGGGAUAACUUCGGGAAACCGGAGCUAAUACCGGAUAAUAUAUUGAACCGCAUGGUUCAAUAGUGAAAGACGGUUUUGCUGUCACUUAUAGAUGGAUCCGCGCCGCAUUAGCUAGUUGGUAAGGUAACGGCUUACCAAGGCGACGAUGCGUAGCCGACCUGAGAGGGUGAUCGGCCACACUGGAACUGAGACACGGUCCAGACUCCUACGGGAGGCAGCAGUAGGGAAUCUUCCGCAAUGGGCGAAAGCCUGACGGAGCAACGCCGCGUGAGUGAUGAAGGUCUUCGGAUCGUAAAACUCUGUUAUUAGGGAAGAACAAAUGUGUAAGUAACUAUGCACGUCUUGACGGUACCUAAUCAGAAAGCCACGGCUAACUACGUG
RNAcentral lists this ribosomal RNA (496 nucleotides) under uncultured bacterium. Its description in RNAcentral is "partial 16S ribosomal RNA". It matches the Rfam family "Bacterial small subunit ribosomal RNA", at positions 29 to 507 of the family's 1533-position model. The record is from RNAcentral.